AAAUAUUGCGCCACUUCAUUUCCGUACCAGGUACCACAACUAAUCCUCUUAAUUCCACAUCAUAACUCUUUCUCUGUACCUUCCUCAGUUUGAUUCUAAUUCAAACACUUUUUCAUUAAUUUCUCCAAACAACUUCUAUAUAAUUAAUUCUCCAUUUUCUCAUCCUUCAUCAUGCAUCCUCAUUCUAACUCAUAACCCUCUCUUCAUCACCAAAAAAUUUCACUUUCCACUCCAAAAAAAAAAACCACUUCAAAAUUCACAAAAAAAAUUCAAUCAAAACUGACUUCGAAAGAUUAGUCUUUGCAGUUAGGUGCGCACAAACAUAUGUGUCUUGGUUUAUAUGGCCCUUCUCAUAGUACCAACCAUACACUAAUUUUUUAAUAUUCUCAAAAAAAAUUGAAAUUUCUUUGUUUUGUUAAAACUAUGAAAUUCAAGCUAGGCAAGAAGGUAACUCGGGUCACUCGAUGGAUCUUCCGAAGAUUCCGGACCCGACCCAAAUACCGUCGUCUCGGCGCCUCACCGGAAAAGAGUCACCUGACAACGAAGCUUCUAACAUGGGGUCGGAAUUUAACUACAAAAGCAAAGUCUCUAUGUUCCAAAAAAGGGUUGGGUCGGUCGGCUUAUUUACCGGUUGGAAAGGACCCGGUUCAGGAAAACGGUUCACCGGUUCCGAAGGGUCAUUUAGCGGUUUACGUGGGUCAAAAAGACGGUGAGUUUCGUCGGGUUUUGGUGCCGGUGGUUUAUUUCAACCACCCUUUGUUCAGUGAAUUGUUGAAAGAAACUGAAAAAGAAUAUGGGUUUUGUCAUCAAGGUGGAAUCACGAUUCCUUGUCGGGUUACGGAGUUUGAACAGGUUAAGACCCGGAUUGCUUCUGGGUCGGGUUUAAGGAGAUUGGGUCGGCGGAGGUAUUUAUGACCGUUGAUUAAUGAAGCGGUGGUGAUGAAGAUUAGAGAUAAUGGUGACUUGCUCUUUCAAUAAUCCGGGAAGAUUAGGCUUUGGUGGUACCUUGCGUGAUAGCAAUGGUAAUUGGUUACUUGGAUUCUCUGGCUUUAUUGGCAUCUCUACUUCCUUAAGUGCCGAACUUCAUGCAAUUUUAAAUGGCCUCAAGAUUGCUCAAGCUAAAGGACUUAGAAAUAUUAUCAUUGAAUCAGAUUCCACUCUAGCAGUUAAUUUUGCUUCUCAUGGAACUUCUCACUUUCACCCUUAUGCACCGCUUAUCCAACAAAUUCGUCAUCUUCACCAAGGGGAUUGAAAUGUUUCUUUUCAGCAUACUCUUAGAGAGGGUAAUGAAUGUGCUGAUUGGCUUGCGAAGACUGGAGCCUCCUGCAAUGAUACUUUGAAGAUUUGAAAUAGUUGUCCUCCUCAACUCAGUCUCGUGUUGAUGGCUGAUGUUAUGGGUGUUGCUCGUCCAAGGACUUAGUUUUUUUUUCUCUUUUUGUUCUUGUGUUGUUUGUUUUUUUUUUCCCAUCUCAUAAAAAAAAAAUACUAAUACACACUCACAUUAAUUUUAGAAGGUGUGUAUUAGCAUUAUUCACCUAGUUACUUUUGACAAUAGAUAUCCUUUCUCUC
Molecule: RNA transcript, 1569 nt
Organism: Trifolium pratense (red clover)
Lineage: Eukaryota; Viridiplantae; Streptophyta; Magnoliopsida; Fabales; Fabaceae
Gene name: auxin-responsive protein SAUR36
Exons: 2
Source: RefSeq, a predicted model, not a curated record